GGGCGCUCUGCCCCUAUUGUCAAGCUUGGAGAUGCAUCCAUGGCAUCACCAUUCACCGCAAAGCAUGCCUCUGUUGCUCCUACUACUGACAUUAUUCGCCAAGGCCGAAGUACUCUAGUGACAACUCUACAGAUGUUCAAAAUACUCGGUCUCAACUGCCUCGCUACUGCCUAUGUACUGAGUGUUAUGUAUUUGGAUGGUGUAAAGCUUGGCGAUAUUCAAGCCACUAUCAGUGGAGUAUUCACAGCAGCCUU
Molecule: unclassified non-coding RNA, 254 nt
Filed under: Hevea brasiliensis (rubber tree)
Lineage: Eukaryota; Viridiplantae; Streptophyta; Magnoliopsida; Malpighiales; Euphorbiaceae
Source: RNAcentral